ACAUGGGCACGCAGACACUAGGGACACUGGGAGACAUGGGGACACUGAGACACUAGGGACACUGAGACACUUGGGGACAUUGUGUCCCUAAUAUCUCAGUGUCCCCAUGUCUCCCAGUAUCCCCAAGUGUCUGUGUCUCCAUGUC
Molecule: non-coding RNA, 145 nt
Organism: Pelobates cultripes (western spadefoot toad)
Lineage: Eukaryota; Metazoa; Chordata; Amphibia; Anura; Pelobatidae
Source: the annotation of a GenBank genome assembly